Seriola dumerili (greater amberjack) is the source of this 334-nucleotide long non-coding RNA. RefSeq lists it as uncharacterized. The transcript is spliced from 4 exons. Lineage: Eukaryota; Metazoa; Chordata; Actinopteri; Carangiformes; Carangidae. The record is from RefSeq and is a predicted model, not a curated record.
GAUGGGGGUGGGGCUGAGUGUGGCAAGUACAUUUUGCUUGCCCAAAUCAAUCACAGGACUCUGGACAGCUGCUUUUCUGAUCGGCUGAUCAGAAAAUGACAGGAGGUAGUUUAGACUGAGGACUACGACUCAACUUGAGGCUGGAAGUUUGAAAAUUUAGAAGCGAAGGCUGCCAACGACAGAGUGAGCAUUCGUCCAAUCAGCUGCCUGAAGGGUUAAUCACCAUGUAGCCUAUUUGAAGUGACAUACUGAUACGGUUCUUCACCAGGCCAUCGUAGUCGACUGAGGAAAGAAACACAGGACGGGAUUAGCCACGCUGGUUACAAACAAACUG